AGUGAACGCUGGCGGUAGGCCUAACACAUGCAAGUCGAACGGCAGCACAGUAAGAGCUUGCUCUUACGGGUGGCGAGUGGCGGACGGGUGAGGAAUACAUCGGAAUCUACUUUUUCGUGGGGGAUAACGUAGGGAAACUUACGCUAAUACCGCAUACGACCUAUGGGUGAAAGCAGGGGAUCUUCGGACCUUGCGCGAUUGAAUGAGCCGAUGUCGGAUUAGCUAGUUGGCGGGGUAAAGGCCCACCAAGGCGACGAUCCGUAGCUGGUCUGAGAGGAUGAUCAGCCACACUGGAACUGAGACACGGUCCAGACUCCUACGGGAGGCAGCAGUGGGGAAUAUUGGACAAUGGGCGCAAGCCUGAUCCAGCCAUACCGCGUGGGUGAAGAAGGCCUUCGGGUUGUAAAGCCCUUUUGUUGGGAAAGAAAAGCAGCAGGUUAAUACCCCGCUGUUCUGACGGUACUCAAAGAAUAAGCACCGGCUAACUUCGUG
This 492-nucleotide ribosomal RNA is filed under the name uncultured bacterium. RNAcentral describes it as "partial 16S ribosomal RNA". It matches the Rfam family "Bacterial small subunit ribosomal RNA", at positions 29 to 507 of the family's 1533-position model. The record is from RNAcentral.